GACGAACGCUAGCGGCGUGCCUAAGAAAUGCAAGUCGAGCGAGGUUAGAGAGCUUGCUCUCGAAGCCUAGCGGCGAACGGUCGCGUAACACGUAAGGAACCUGCCCCGAAGUGUGGGAUAGCCCCGGGAAACUGGGAAUAAUACCUCAUGUGGUCCACUGGAGGCAUCUUUGGUGGUCUAAAGCAGUAAUGCGCUUUGGGAUGGUCUUGCGGCCUAUCAGCUAGUUGGUGUGGUAACGGCUCACCAAGGCGACGACGGGUAGCUGGUCUGAGAGGAUGGUCAGCCGGACUGGGACUGAGACACGGCCCAGACUCCUACGGGAGGCUG
This 327-nucleotide ribosomal RNA is filed under the name uncultured Armatimonadota bacterium. RNAcentral describes it as "bacterial SSU rRNA". It matches the Rfam family "Bacterial small subunit ribosomal RNA", at positions 28 to 351 of the family's 1533-position model. Lineage: Bacteria; Bacillati; Armatimonadota. The record is from RNAcentral.